This is a non-coding RNA of Coturnix japonica (Japanese quail), 822 nucleotides long. The record is from RefSeq and is a predicted model, not a curated record. NCBI's taxonomy places the organism in Eukaryota, Metazoa, Chordata, Aves, Galliformes, Phasianidae.
GCCAUUGGGAUCUGUGAACCACAAUAAUAAGAAUGCCCAAAUCAGGCUUCCAGAGAUGCUUGGAACUGGAAACACCUCUAACAACAAAGACACAAAGCAACAGUGCAUGUGUGCCAAGCAAUGACCUCACUGACAACACUGCUCCUUUACUGAGCGUUGGCCACUACUUCCGCGUGCCAUGACAUGAAGGUGCAACGUGGCACCUUUGGCCUCCAAUAUUCUCACUUGAAAGGUGCCGCUGCUGUCAACAGGAAACGACCUCAAGAGAAGGACGUGAAAUGGCAGAGUUCCUGGAAGGAGAACACACAACCCAUGAGUGGCAACACUACGUGAUGCAAGAGCUGCACGCUGCACAAUGCUGCCAUGCGCAGAGGCUCUCUCCAAGCCCUCGGGCACUCACACAGCAGCAUAAAAGCCGGCCCUGCACCUCGCUCCCUCACACCCUUCUCCUGACACCUUCUCCUCUCUGCUCCUACAGGGACCCUCCACCCCACAGCCAUGUCCUGCUACGACCUCUGCCGCCCCUGCGGACCCACCCCGCUGGCUAACAGCUGCAACGAGCCCUGUGUCAGGCAGUGCCAGGACUCCCAAGUCGUCAUCCAGCCUUCCACCGUGGUGGUCACCCUGCCGGGACCCAUCCUCAGCUCCUUCCCCCAGAACACCGCCGUCGGAUCCUCCUCAUCAGCUGCCGUGGGCAGCGCCCUCAGCGCCCAGGGAGUGUCCAUCUCCUCCGGCGGCUUCGGCUUCGGAGGCCUGGGCUGCUUCAACGGCGGGAGAGCCCGCUACCCCUGCUAAGGGCCUGCUAACGAAUGGAGACUGGAC